RNAcentral lists this small nuclear RNA (160 nucleotides) under Oryza glumipatula. RNAcentral's name for it is "snRNA U1". It matches the Rfam family "U1 spliceosomal RNA". Rfam says of the family: U1 is a small nuclear RNA (snRNA) component of the spliceosome (involved in pre-mRNA splicing). Its 5' end forms complementary base pairs with the 5' splice junction, thus defining the 5' donor site of an intron. There are significant differences in sequence and secondary structure between metazoan and yeast U1 snRNAs, the latter being much longer (568 nucleotides as compared to 164 nucleotides in human). The record is from Rfam by way of RNAcentral. Lineage: Eukaryota; Viridiplantae; Streptophyta; Magnoliopsida; Poales; Poaceae.
GCACUUACCUGGACGGGGUCUAUGGGUGAUCAAGAAGAUCCAUGGCCUAGAUCAACGGCCUACAUUGCACUUGGUAGGCGUGUUGGUCUGCCAUCUCCCCAAGUGGAGAGUGGGCGUCAUAAUUUGUGGUAGAGGAGGUACGCGUUCGCGCGGCCCCGCC